GACGAACGCUGGCGGCGUGCCUAAUACAUGCAAGUAGAACGCUGAAGAGAGGAGCUUGCUCUUCUUGGAUGAGUUGCGAACGGGUGAGUAACGCGUAGGUAACCUGCCUGGUAGCGGGGGAUAACUAUUGGAAACGAUAGCUAAUACCGCAUGAUAUUAAUUAUUGCAUGAUAAUUGAUUGAAAGAUGCAAUUGCAUCACUACCAGACGGACCUGCGUUGUAUUAGCUAGUUGGUGAGGUAACGGCUCACCAAGGCGACGAUACAUAGCCGACCUGAGAGGGUGAUCGGCCACACUGGGACUGAGACACGGCCCAGACUCCUACGGGAGGCAGCAGUAGGGAAUCUUCGGCAAUGGGGGGAACCCUGACCGAGCAACGCCGCGUGAGCGAAGAAGGUUUUCGGAUCGUAAAGCUCUGUUGUAAGAGAAGAACGGGUGUGAGAGUGGAAAGUUCACACUGUGACGGUAUCUUACCAGAAAGGGACGGCUAACUACGUGCCAGCAGCCGCGGUAAUACGUAGGUCCCGAGCGUUGUCCGGAUUUAUUGGGCGUAAAGCGAGCGCAGGCGGUUAGAUAAGUCUGAAGUUAAAGGCUGUGGCUUAACCAUAGUAUGCUUUGGAAACUGUUUAACUUGAGUGCAGAAGGGGAGAGUGGAAUUCCAUGUGUAGCGGUGAAAUGCGUAGAUAUAUGGAGGAACACCGGUGGCGAAAGCGGCUCUCUGGUCUGUAACUGACGCUGAGGCUCGAAAGCGUGGGGAGCAAACAGGAUUAGAUACCCUGGUAGUCCAAGGGCGAAUUCCACAGUGGAUAUCAAGCUUAUCGAUACCGUCGACCUCGAGGGGGGGCCCGGUACCCAGCUUUUGUUCCUUAGGGGGNNNGGUA
This 880-nucleotide ribosomal RNA is filed under the name uncultured Streptococcus sp. RNAcentral's name for it is "bacterial SSU rRNA". It matches the Rfam family "Bacterial small subunit ribosomal RNA". Lineage: Bacteria; Bacillati; Bacillota; Bacilli; Lactobacillales; Streptococcaceae. The record is from RNAcentral.